RNAcentral lists this unclassified non-coding RNA (228 nucleotides) under Hevea brasiliensis (rubber tree). Lineage: Eukaryota; Viridiplantae; Streptophyta; Magnoliopsida; Malpighiales; Euphorbiaceae. The record is from RNAcentral.
UCAUCAUUUUCAAAAGACCAAUCAAAGUAAUGUAUUAAAUUGGCUAAAAUCAAUGGAAUUUGCCUUAUAGCCAUGGGUAGACCUGGACAAAUUCGCCUUCCUGAACCAAAAGGUAUUAGCUCAAAAUCUUGACCUUUCAAGUCUAAACUUGAUCCGAGAAACCUUUCAGGCUUAAAUGACAAAGGCUCUUCCCAAACUGAAGGAUCGCGUCCAAUUGCCCAAACAUUG